UUUUUAUUCUUGAGUUACUUGUUCAAUUUCUUUCUUAUCAUCAUCAUUCGUUUUCUCUUGACUAGCAUGAUAAAUAACAAGUUCAUUUUCAGUGCAUUCACUAGUUUUAUCUAGAAGCAAGUCAUCUUCUCCUAACAAGUCAUCCUCAUGACUAUUGAAAUCAAGAUACUAAGGAUGUGAUACCUUGGGGCCUUUAGCCAUG
RNAcentral lists this long non-coding RNA (202 nucleotides) under Hordeum vulgare. Its description in RNAcentral is "long non-coding RNA (HVUL_LNC010194)". The record is from RNAcentral. Lineage: Eukaryota; Viridiplantae; Streptophyta; Magnoliopsida; Poales; Poaceae.